UUAAAUAGCUGCAGUAUAAAUAACUGUACAAAGGUAGCAUAAUAAUUAGUUUUUUAAAUGAAAACUUGUAUGAAUGAUUCGAUGAAAUAAAAACUGUCUCAAUUUAAAUAAAAUAACUUUUUUUUUAAGUAAAAAAACUUAAAUAAAAUUAAAAGACGAGAAGACCCUAUAGAAUUUUAUAUUUAAUUGGGGAGAUUUUAAAAUUAAAUAAACUUUUAAUUAAAUAAUCAUAUAUUCAUGAAUUAAAUAUAAUUAAUAAAAAAUUAAAAUUAAAUUACCUUAGGGAUAACAGCAUAA
This 297-nucleotide ribosomal RNA is filed under the name Khoikhoia sp. NM-2007. RNAcentral describes it as "partial 16S ribosomal RNA". Lineage: Eukaryota; Metazoa; Arthropoda; Insecta; Hymenoptera; Braconidae. The record is from RNAcentral.